This 435-nucleotide ribosomal RNA is filed under the name uncultured bacterium. RNAcentral describes it as "partial 16S ribosomal RNA". It matches the Rfam family "Bacterial small subunit ribosomal RNA", at positions 28 to 507 of the family's 1533-position model. The record is from RNAcentral.
GAUGAACGCUGGCGGUAUGCUUAACACAUGCCAGUCGAACGGACUCUUCGGAGUUAGUGGCGGACGGGUGAGUAACGCGUGAGAAUCUGGCUUUGGGUUCGGGACAACUACUGGAAACGGUGGCUAAUACCGGAUGUGCCGAGAGGUAAAAGAGAAAUUGCCUGAAGAUGAGCUCGCGUCUGAUUAGCUAGUUGGUGAGGUAAAGGCUCACCAAGGCAGCGAUCAGUAGCUGGUCUGAGAGGAUGACCAGCCACACUGGGACUGAGACACGGCCCAGACUCCGCGGGGAGGAAGCGGGGGGAAUUUUUCCGCAAGGGGCAAACGCUUGAAGGGACAAUCCGGGGGGGGGGAAGAGGUCUUUGGGUGUGAAACCUUUUUUUCUGGGGGAAGAACAAAAUGACGGUACCUAAGAAAUAAGCACCGGCUAACUCCGUG